Molecule: ribosomal RNA, 468 nt
Filed under: uncultured bacterium
Lineage: Bacteria
Description: partial 16S ribosomal RNA
Rfam family: Bacterial small subunit ribosomal RNA (bases 86-468)
Source: RNAcentral
GGGGGGGGGGGGGGGGGGGGUGGGGGGGGGGGGGGCGGGGGGGGGGGGGGGGCGUGGGGGGGGUGGUGGGGGGGGGAGCGGGGGGGUAGGGCGUGCGGGACCUGCGCUGGACGUUGGGCGGGCUUGAGGCCACUGGGGCGCAGACCGGGGAGGAGCUCCUGCUGCAGGGUGGGGGUUGGAGAGUUUCGGCGGCUGGGGAUGUACUCGCGGCUUAUCAGCUUGUUGGUGGGGUAGUGGCUUACCAAGGCUUUGACGGGUAGCCGGCCUGAGAGGGUUACCGGCCGCAUUGGGACUGAGAUACGGCCCAGACUCCUACGGGAGGCAGCAGUGGGGAAUAUUGCACAAUGGGCGGAAGCCUGAUGCAGCAACGCCGCGUGCGGGAUGACGGCCUUCGGGUUGUAAACCGCUUUCGCCUGUGACGAAGCGUGAGUGACGGUAAUGGGUAAAGAAGCACCGGCUAACUACGUG